GAUGAACGCUGGCGGCGUGCCUAAUACAUGCAAGUCGAGCGAACAGACGAGGAUCUUGCUCCUCUGACGUUAGCGGCGGACGGGUGAGGAACACGUGGAUAACCUACCUAUAAGACUGGGAUAACUUCGGGAAACCGGAGAUAAUACCGGAUAAUAUAUUGAACCGCAUGGUUCAAUAGUGAAAGGCGGUUUUUCUGUCACUUAUAGAUGGAUCCGCGCCGCAUUAGCUAGUUGGUAAGGUAACGGCUUACCAAGGCAACGAUGCGUAGCCGACCUGAGAGGGUGAUCGGCCACACUGGAACUGAGACACGGUCCAGACCCCUACGGGAGGCAGCAGUAGGGAAUCUUCCGCAAUGGGCGAAAGCCUGACGGAGCAACGCCGCGGGAGUGAUGAAGGUCUUCGGAUCGUAAAACUCUGUUAUUAGGGAAGAACAAAUGUGUAAGUAACUAUGCACGUCUUGACGGUACCUAAUCAGAAAGCCACGGCUAACUACGUG
This 497-nucleotide ribosomal RNA is filed under the name uncultured bacterium. RNAcentral's name for it is "partial 16S ribosomal RNA". It matches the Rfam family "Bacterial small subunit ribosomal RNA", at positions 28 to 507 of the family's 1533-position model. The record is from RNAcentral.